This 376-nucleotide ribosomal RNA is filed under the name uncultured bacterium. Its description in RNAcentral is "bacterial SSU rRNA". It matches the Rfam family "Bacterial small subunit ribosomal RNA", at positions 29 to 430 of the family's 1533-position model. The record is from RNAcentral.
AGCGAACGCUGGCGGCAGGCCUAACACAUGCAAGUCGAGCGCGUGUCGCAAGACACGAGCGGCAGACGGGAGAGUAACACGUGGGAACGUACCCUUUGGUUCGGAACAACCCAGGGAAACUUGGGCUAAUACCGAAUAAGCCCUUACGGGGAAAGAUUAUCGCCGAAGGAUCGGCCCGCGUCUGAUUAGCUGGUUGGUGGGGUAACGGCCCGACCAAGGCGACGAUCAGUAGCUGGUCUGAGAGGAUGAUCAGCCUCACUGGGACUGAGACACGGCCCAGACUCCUACGGGAGGCAGCAGUGGGGAAUAUUGGACAAUGGGCGCAAGCCUGAUCCAGCCAUGCCGCGUGGGUGAUGAAGGCCCUAGGGUUGUAAAG